Molecule: ribosomal RNA, 594 nt
Filed under: Brevibacterium sp. 239c
Lineage: Bacteria; Bacillati; Actinomycetota; Actinomycetes; Micrococcales; Brevibacteriaceae
Description: bacterial LSU rRNA
Rfam family: Bacterial large subunit ribosomal RNA
Source: RNAcentral
GUAUGAGUGUGUAAGAGCGCAUGGUGGAUGCCUUGGCAUCAGGAGCCGAUGAAGGACGUGGAAAUCUGCGAUAAGCCUCGGGGAGCCGAUAAACGGGCUGUGAUCCGAGGGUGUCCGAAUGGGGAAACCCCGCCGCAUGAGAGUGUGGUGACCCGCAUCUGAAUAUAUAGGGUGUGUGGGGGGAACGCGGGGAAGUGAAACAUCUCAGUACCCGUAGGAAGAGAAAAUAAAACAUGAUUCCGGGAGUAGUGGCGAGCGAAACUGGAUGAGCCUAAACCGUGUGCGUGUCAAACGUGCUGGUGUUGCGUAUGCGGUGUUGUGGGGUAUGUGUGUCUAGUCCAGCAUGACUAGGACGUUGAUGUGUGUUGCGUGUAGUCGAAGCUGGUGGGAAACAGUACCGGAGUGGGUGAGAGUCCCGUAGACGAAACAUGUGGCCCCGACGUUGUGCAUACACCCGAGUAGCACGAUACUCGUGGAAUGUCGUGUGAAUCUGCCAGGACCACCUGGUAAGGCUAAAUACUUCCUGAUGACCGAUAGCGGAUAGUACCGUGAGGGAAUGGUGAAAAGUACCCCGGGAGGGGAGUGAAAUAGUAC